GCCGAAUAAGAGCGCUCGGAUUUCUCCACACUUUUACUGCAAGCUUUAGACGUUAGAAAAUCGACCUUCCAAGUACUCAGCUUGGGAGGGAAAGGUGAAAGGGCUGGAACAUAUGGAGGUGGAGUCGUGGUUAAGUACUCACUGCAAAUACUGAUCAGCUGGAGACCAGAGGCAAUCCAAGCGUUGGCUGACUUUGGGAAACUUCCCAUACUCCUCCCUGUGUUGAACCAGAAAAUUGCCAGCAGAAAAUGAGCAGAGACUUGGAUUUAAAG
Molecule: long non-coding RNA, 272 nt
Filed under: Phascolarctos cinereus (koala)
Lineage: Eukaryota; Metazoa; Chordata; Mammalia; Diprotodontia; Phascolarctidae
Description: lncRNA (ENSPCIG00000015781.2)
Source: RNAcentral